Molecule: ribosomal RNA, 245 nt
Filed under: uncultured bacterium
Lineage: Bacteria
Description: partial small subunit ribosomal RNA
Rfam family: Bacterial small subunit ribosomal RNA
Source: RNAcentral
AGAAUCAACGCUGGCGGCGUGCCUAACACAUGCAAGUCGCACGAGAAAGGGGAGCAAUCCCUGAGUACAGUGGCGCACGGGUGAGUAACACGUGAAUAAUCUACCUCCGAGUGGGGAAUAACUGAGAGAAAUCUUAGCUAAUACCGCAUAACACUUACGAGUCAAAGCAGCAAUGCGCUUGGAGAGGAGUUCGCGGCAGAUUAGUUAGUUGGCGGGGUAAUGGCCCACCAAGACGAUGAUCUGUA